AUCGCUUCUCGGCCUUUUGGCUAAGAUCAAGUGUAGUAUCUGUUCUUAUCAGUUUAAAACCCACAGAGGAGACCUUCAGGGCCUACCAGCCAAAGUAAGAAAGGGAUCCCACCUACAGGCCUCUCUGAUGGUCAGUGGGAGCCCCACAUCUCCAAGUACUCACAACUACUGUCUGAACAUCAUCCCUC
Molecule: small nuclear RNA, 188 nt
Organism: Pongo pygmaeus (Bornean orangutan)
Lineage: Eukaryota; Metazoa; Chordata; Mammalia; Primates; Hominidae
Product: U2 spliceosomal RNA
Exons: 1
Source: RefSeq, a predicted model, not a curated record